UACAGAGGGUGCAAGCGUUGUUCGGAAUUAUUGGGCGUAAAGGGAGUGUAGGCGGCUUAUUAAGUCUCAUGUGAAAGCUCUAAGCUUAGCUUGGAAAGUGCAUGAGAAACUGGUAGGCUGGAGUGUCAAAGAGGAGAGCGGAAUUCCCGGUGUAGAGGUGAAAUUCGUAGAGAUCGGGAGGAACACCAGUGGCGAAAGCGGCUCUCUGGUUGACAACUGACGCUGAGACUCGAAAGCAUGGGGAGCAAACAGG
Molecule: ribosomal RNA, 253 nt
Filed under: uncultured bacterium
Lineage: Bacteria
Description: partial 16S ribosomal RNA
Rfam family: Bacterial small subunit ribosomal RNA
Source: RNAcentral